ACGUAGGGGGCGAGCGUUGUCCGAAGUUACUGGGCGUAAAGCGCGCGUAGGCGGGGGAUUAAGUGAGAGGUGAAAGGCUGGGGCUCAACCCCAUGCAGUGCCUCUCAUACUGGUCUUCUUGAGGGCGGUAGGGAGAAGUGGAAUGGCUGGUGUAGCGGUGAAAUGCGUAGAUAUCAGGAGGAACAUCCGUGGCGAAGGCGGCUACCUGGACCAGCAC
This 217-nucleotide ribosomal RNA is filed under the name uncultured prokaryote. RNAcentral's name for it is "partial 16S ribosomal RNA". It matches the Rfam family "Bacterial small subunit ribosomal RNA", at positions 525 to 740 of the family's 1533-position model. The record is from RNAcentral.